RNAcentral lists this ribosomal RNA (584 nucleotides) under uncultured bacterium. RNAcentral describes it as "partial 16S ribosomal RNA". It matches the Rfam family "Bacterial small subunit ribosomal RNA", at positions 355 to 938 of the family's 1533-position model. The record is from RNAcentral.
UGGGGAAUUUUGGACAAUGGGCGAAAGCCUGAUCCAGCAAUGCCGCGUGUGUGAAGAAGGCCUUCGGGUUGUAAAGCACUUUUGUCCGGAAAGAAAUCCUUGGCUCUAAUACAGUCGGGGGAUGACGGUACCGGAAGAAUAAGCACCGGCUAACUACGUGCCAGCAGCCGCGGUAAUACGUAGGGUGCAAGCGUUAAUCGGAAUUACUGGGCGUAAAGCGUGCGCAGGCGGUUUGCUAAGACCGAUGUGAAAUCCCCGGGCUCAACCUGGGAACUGCAUUGGUGACUGGCAGGCUAGAGUAUGGCAGAGGGGGGUAGAAUUCCACGUGUAGCAGUGAAAUGCGUAGAGAUGUGGAGGAAUACCGAUGGCGAAGGCAGCCCCCUGGGCCAAUACUGACGCUCAUGCACGAAAGCGUGGGGAGCAAACAGGAUUAGAUACCCUGGUAGUCCACGCCCUAAACGAUGUCAACUAGUUGUUGGGAUUCAUUCUUAGUAACGUAGCUAACGCGUGAAGUUGACCGCCUGGGGAGUACGGUCGCAAGAUUCAAAACUCAAAUGGAAUUGACGGGGUCAUAGCUGUUUUCU